RNAcentral lists this ribosomal RNA (260 nucleotides) under uncultured archaeon. RNAcentral describes it as "partial 16S ribosomal RNA". It matches the Rfam family "Archaeal small subunit ribosomal RNA", at positions 748 to 1008 of the family's 1478-position model. The record is from RNAcentral.
CAGCCGUAAACUAUGCGCGUUAGGUGUAUCGGUGACCACGAGUUACCGAGGUGCCGAAGGGAAACCGUGAAACGUGCCGCCUGGGAGUACGGUCGCAAGGCUGAAACUUAAAGGAAUUGGCGGGGGAGCACCACAACAGGUGGAGCCUGCGGUUUAAUUGGACUCAACGCCGGGAAGCUCACCGGAUAGGACAGCAGAAUGAUUGCCGGGCUGAAGACCCUGCAUGACUAGCUGAGAGGUGGUGCAUGGCGUCAGUGACU